UACGUAGGGGGCAAGCGUUAUCCGGAUUUACUGGGUGUAAAGGGAGCGUAGGUGGUUUGGUAAGUCAGAAGUGAAAGCCCAGGGCUCAACCCUGGGACUGCUUUUGAAACUAUCAAACUAGAGUGCAGGAGAGGUAAGUGGAAUUCCUAGUGUAGCGGUGAAAUGCGUAGAUAUUAGGAGGAACACCAGUGGCGAAGGCGACUUACUGGACUGUAACUGACACUGAGGCUCGAAAGCGUGGGGAGCAAACAGG
RNAcentral lists this ribosomal RNA (253 nucleotides) under uncultured bacterium. RNAcentral's name for it is "partial 16S ribosomal RNA". It matches the Rfam family "Bacterial small subunit ribosomal RNA", at positions 524 to 776 of the family's 1533-position model. The record is from RNAcentral.